RNAcentral lists this ribosomal RNA (864 nucleotides) under human gut metagenome. RNAcentral describes it as "bacterial SSU rRNA". It matches the Rfam family "Bacterial small subunit ribosomal RNA", at positions 8 to 869 of the family's 1533-position model. The record is from RNAcentral.
AGAGUUUGAUCCUGGCUCAGGACGAACGCUGGCGGCGUGCCUAACACAUGCAAGUCGAACGGAACUGUUUUGAAAGAUUUCUUCGGAAUGAAUUUGAUUUAGUUUAGUGGCGGACGGGUGAGUAACGCGUGAGUAACCUGCCUUCAAGAGGGGGAUAACAUUCUGAAAAGAAUGCUAAUACCGCAUGACAUAUCGGAACCACAUGGUUUUGAUAUCAAAGAUUUUAUCGCUUGAAGAUGGACUCGCGUCCGAUUAGUUAGUUGGUGAGGUAACGGCUCACCAAGACCGCGAUCGGUAGCCGGACUGAGAGGUUGAACGGCCACAUUGGGACUGAGACACGGCCCAGACUCCUACGGGAGGCAGCAGUGGGGGAUAUUGCGCAAUGGGGGCAACCCUGACGCAGCAACGCCGCGUGAAGGAUGAAGGUUUUCGGAUUGUAAACUUCUUUUAUUAAGGACGAAAAAUGACGGUACUUAAUGAAUAAGCUCCGGCUAACUACGUGCCAGCAGCCGCGGUAAUACGUAGGGAGCAAGCGUUGUCCGGAUUUACUGGGUGUAAAGGGUGCGUAGGCGGCUUUGCAAGUCAGAUGUGAAAUCUAUGGGCUCAACCCAUAAACUGCAUUUGAAACUGUAGAGCUUGAGUGAAGUAGAGGCAGGCGGAAUUCCCCGUGUAGCGGUGAAAUGCGUAGAGAUGGGGAGGAACACCAGUGGCGAAGGCGGCCUGCUGGGCUUUAACUGACGCUGAGGCACGAAAGCGUGGGUAGCAAACAGGAUUAGAUACCCUGGUAGUCCACGCUGUAAACGAUGAUUACUAGGUGUGGGGGGUCUGACCCCUUCCGUGCCGGAGUUAACACAAUAAGUAAUC